This is a long non-coding RNA of Canis lupus familiaris (dog), 1906 nucleotides long. RefSeq lists it as uncharacterized. The transcript has 2 exons. The record is from RefSeq and is a predicted model, not a curated record. Lineage: Eukaryota; Metazoa; Chordata; Mammalia; Carnivora; Canidae.
CCUCUCUCUUUGUCUCCUCUCUGUGUAUUCUCCUGAAUAAAUAAUAAAAUCUUUAAACAAAACAAAAAAACUAAUUGUUAAAAAAAGAUGGUGGUAGUAGGAAUUAAGAGGAUGAAAUCAAAAGAAUGUGGAGAAAGAAUGGUCAGAACUUGAUGGCAGAGACAGGAUUGAAGAGACGAUAUUGUAAGAGAAUGACAGGUUUCUAUUUCAAAGCAGCUGGGUGGCUGGCAGUGCUGGAUCUGAAACAGAGAAGCAGCAGGUUUGAGGUGGUGAUAAGGAUCUCUGAUUUGGAUAUGUUGAAUUUGCAGUACCUAAAGGUCAUUUUCAUUAGACUGGGGACCUGGAGAAUGAUAUGGGUCAGAGAUACGAAUUUUGAUAGGUAUAAUUCACCCAACAAAAUGGUCUAUUUUGAAAUACACUGCACACUCUUAGCCCAAGGCACCAACUACAUUUCUUGUUCUACCUGUUUCGCCAGACUUUUUAAAUGCCCCUGAUGCCCAGUUUGUUAUACUUUUACUCUUGGCCAGUUCAGAACUCUUUUUAUAAUAUUCUACUUAUAACAGUUUUCUAAGUCCUAGAUGAUUAGACUCUUAGACAUUAUUAAAUUUAAUUUUAUAGGGUGGAAACCCCUGUGGAAACCCAGGGACUUCAGUUUAUUAUGUGUUAUGUUAAACAUUCAGUGCUGCUUUCCUGGCCACUUUCCCUCUUUCUCCACUCACUUUUUCUGACCACCCAGGCUCUGAGUCUUUUCUGCUCUCCAGCUGCUCUUCUCUUAACCCCUUCUUUACACUGUGGUCACUGCCUCAUUCUUGAAACUUCUUCCCACAUUUCCAUGACAGUUCCUGAUUUCCUGCCUACCUGCCACCUCUCUGGUUGCUAUACUUCCUCAAACCACUACUUAAAAGUUAAUGUUUUCUCGGAAUUCCCCACUUAGCUUCAUUUUCAUCUCACUUUAGUAUCCUCCCAGCUUAAGCUCAUCUACCCACACAGCUUCACAAACAAACAUUUUAAAUUACUGCUAAAUCUGAAACUCCAAAAAAAUUUAAAAAAUAAAAAAAUCUGAAACUCCAGCCUAGUUUUCUCAGUCCAGACCCAAACAUCUAACUCCUUUUAGGACACCUGCAUUUGGCUAGGUUCCAUGGGCACUUCAAAUCAACUGGCCAGAGUGAAAUUUUCUUCUCCUCCAUAAACUUGGGCUUUUCUACUCUUUUUUUUUUUUUUUUAAGAUUUUAUUUAUUCAUGAGAGACAUACAGAAAGAGAGAGAGAGGCAGAGACAAAGCAGGCUCCAUGCAGGGAGCCCGACAUGGUACUCCAUCCCCAGGUCUCCAGGAUCAGACCCUGGGCUGAAGGAGGCGCUAAACCGCAGAGCCACGCAGGCUGCCCUCUACUCUCAUUCUCAGCGAAUGGUCUCCUCAUCUACCCAGAAACUGGGAGACUUCUUUGACUUCUCCAUUAGUUCUCAAUUUCAGUCUGUCAUGAAGUCCUAUCAGUUUUACAUUUCAGAUGAGCAUUUUUCGAGAAGAGAAUGUGGUGUGAUUGAACAUAAUAAGGAAGUGAUAAUAACGUACAUGGGAGACUAGACCAACAGGAGACAAGUUUUGUUGCGGAACAUUGGAAAACACAGUUUUCAUGAUGAAGCUCUAUUGACUUGCUAAAUUACUUACAUGAGGUCCUUGAAGGCACAACUUCCACUGAGGAUACACAUUGAUUUCCAUCCCGUAGCAAAAGCUCUGCAGCACAAGCUCUGUACCCGGUGUUGUUUGAAUUAAUGAACAGGGCAGCUGCUUGUUCUCUCGGUUUAGCUGCCACAGAGCAGUCAUUAACAGGAUCUGAAUUCCAGACUAAAUCUUGAGCCCCGCCUCUGAAAAGGAAGACCAAAAAAAAAAAAAAAAAAAAAAAAAAAAA